CUACGGGACGCAGCAGUUUCGAAUCAUUCACAAUGGGGGCAACCCUGAUGGUGCAACGCCGCGUGGGGGACGAAGGUCUUCGGAUUGUAAACCCCUGUCACACAGGACUAACCGUAAGGUUCAUAGCCUUACCUGAAUUAACUGUGAGAGGAAGUAGUGGCUAACUCCGUGCCAGCAGCCGCGGUAAUACGGAGACUACGAGCGUUACUCGGAUUCACUGGGCGUAAAGGGAGCGCAGGCGGAAUUGUGUGUUAGGUGUGAAAUCCCGGGGCUCAACUUCGGAAUAGCGCCUAAAACUAUAAUUCUUGAGACUUGGAGAGGUAAGCGGAAUUUCUGGUGUAGCGGUAAAAUGCGCAGAUAUCAGAAGGAACACCGAAGGCGAAGGCAGCUUACUGGACAAGAUCUGACGCUCAAGCUCGAAAGCGUGGGUAGCGAAAGGGAUUAGAUACCCCAGUAGUC
Molecule: ribosomal RNA, 459 nt
Filed under: uncultured bacterium
Lineage: Bacteria
Description: partial 16S ribosomal RNA
Rfam family: Bacterial small subunit ribosomal RNA
Source: RNAcentral